This 94-nucleotide ribosomal RNA is filed under the name Escherichia coli. Its description in RNAcentral is "partial 16S ribosomal RNA". It matches the Rfam family "Bacterial small subunit ribosomal RNA", at positions 1 to 88 of the family's 1533-position model. The record is from RNAcentral. Lineage: Bacteria; Pseudomonadati; Pseudomonadota; Gammaproteobacteria; Enterobacterales; Enterobacteriaceae.
UUAAAUUGAAGAGUUUGAUCAUGGCUCAGAUUGAACGCUGGCGGCAGGCCUAACACAUGCAAGUCGAACGGUAACAGGAAACAGCUUACUGUUU